RNAcentral lists this ribosomal RNA (304 nucleotides) under uncultured Glomus. RNAcentral describes it as "SSU rRNA". It matches the Rfam family "Eukaryotic small subunit ribosomal RNA", at positions 569 to 878 of the family's 1831-position model. The record is from RNAcentral. Lineage: Eukaryota; Fungi; Glomeromycota; Glomeromycetes; Glomerales; Glomeraceae.
AGCAGCCGCGGUAAUUCCAGCUCCAAUAGCGUAUAUUAAAGUUGUUGCAGUUAAAAAGCUCGUAGUUGAAUUUCGGGAUCAGUACGCUGGUCAUGCCUUUGGUAUGCACUGGUGUCACUGGUUUCUCCCUUCUGAAGAUCCGUGAUGUCAUUAAUUUGGUGUCGCGGGGAAUCAGGACUGUUACUUUAGAAAAAUUAGAGUGUUAAAGCAGGCUCACGCUUGAAUACAUUAGCAUGGAAUAAUGAAAUAGGACGUUUGACCCUAUUUUGUUGGUUUCUAGGAUCGACGUAAUGAUUAAUAGGGA